GCUGAAUUCCCUCCUUUGGUCCUUAAAGACCUUCUGUUUUCCGUGAUUGGCCCGGGCCGGGGCAGGCCUAGACUUAAAGGGACUGCGCCCUCCAGGGGCAGGCGGGAGGGAAGUGACCUGUGGAGUUUGUAGCGGAGUUGGACCACUAAAAAAUUCCAGGGUUCUUUUGGCGCUGGAAGGAAUUUAGAAGGCCCCUGGCCUGGUCCUGGUCAUCUGCUAUUUUCAGAAGCCCAGAGAGAUUGCGCCACUUGUUCGACUCCACACAGCGCUCCUCCUGCUCUUCCAGAGUUGAAGAAAGGCAGGAGGACUGCAGAGGUGCUGAGCCAAUCCCUCUCCAGGCCUGCUCCGCUUGGGGCGCAGGGGCCUGUGAGUCUAGGGCUGAGCCAGGGCCUGUGUGCAGAUGGAGGUGAGAGUGUUUUCUGUGGCCUAUCAGAGCCCAACCCAGAACCAGGGUGGGGCUCUGUCUGGGCCUGGGUGGAGAUCUUUUGUCACCGGGCUCAGGCCCAGUUUGUGACCAGGGUCAGGGCUCAUCCUGAGAUCAGGGAACGGGGAGAAGCAGCCCUUCCAGGACAGACCCAGCCCAGGAUUCCAACUCCAAGAUGCUUCACAUUUACUCCAGCUACACGGCCACCCGUUCUCUUCUGGAAGCCUGCUCCUGCCCCUACGUCUUGGAGCCCACAACUGACCCCUGAUCUCUGCGCAUCUGGCUGCUCAUCCUUCCAGCCUCAGCCCGAAGAGGCCUCCCCUGACCUCUCCCUCUGAAGGGCUCCUCUCUCUGUUUCGGCCCUCUCACAUUUCAGGCCCUGCAGUUGCCUCAUCUAUGGAUGUGUUACCGGUUUGACUCUCUUCCCCACUAGAUUGUAAGCCCCAUGGGCCAGGGACCUCAUCCUCUGCUAUAUUGGCACCUGGUUGGUGCCGAAUAAAUGGAUAUGGAAUCAAUGAAUAGAUGUCCA
This 953-nucleotide long non-coding RNA is filed under the name Felis catus (domestic cat). Its description in RNAcentral is "lncRNA (ENSFCAG00000047417.1)". The record is from RNAcentral. Lineage: Eukaryota; Metazoa; Chordata; Mammalia; Carnivora; Felidae.